This 569-nucleotide ribosomal RNA is filed under the name Trigonopterus armipes. Its description in RNAcentral is "SSU rRNA". It matches the Rfam family "Eukaryotic small subunit ribosomal RNA", at positions 32 to 579 of the family's 1831-position model. Lineage: Eukaryota; Metazoa; Arthropoda; Insecta; Coleoptera; Curculionidae. The record is from RNAcentral.
UUGUCUCAAAGAUUAAGCCAUGCAUGUCUCAGUACAAGCCAAAUUAAGGUGAAACCGCGAAAGGCUCAUUAAAUCAGUUAUGGUUCCUUAGAUCGUACCCACAAUAACUUGGAUAACUGUGGUAAUUCUAGAGCUAAUACAUGCAAACAGAGCUCCGACCGGAGACGGAAGGAGUGCUUUUAUUAGAUCAAAACCAAUCGGUGGCGGGUUCGCUCGUUAUCGUACAACUUGGUGACUCUGAAUAACUUUACGCUGAUCGCACGGUCAUCGCACCGGCGACGCAUCUUUCAAAUGUCUGCCUUAUCAACUGUCGAUGGUAGGUUCUGCGCCUACCAUGGUUGUAACGGGUAACGGGGAAUCAGGGUUCGAUUCCGGAGAGGGAGCCUGAGAAACGGCUACCACAUCCAAGGAAGGCAGCAGGCGCGCAAAUUACCCACUCCCGGCACGGGGAGGUAGUGACGAAAAAUAACGAUACGGGACUCAUCCGAGGCCCCGUAAUCGGAAUGAGUACACUCUAAACCCUUUAACGAGGAUCAAUUGGAGGGCAAGUCUGGUGCCAGCAGCCGCGG